CGGUUUCCAAUUUCUGGUUUCCAGCGAGAUAAAGUCAAUUUUCAAAAAUGUGUAUCGGUACGCCUCACAGAAUUGUCAUUGCGUGAUCGAUAUCAAGAAUGUAAUUCCAUGGCAACGCAAUAGCAGAGAGAUGAGAGAAUGGUAUGAACAUUAAAAUCGCAUCGAUCACUUGAAUCAUUCGUCAUCGUGUUGGUAUCAAAGAUCGUGUGUCCUUCUAACAAUAAAAAAAUAAGAAGAUGGGAAAUACGGAAAGCAACGUAGCCAGCGGAGUGAAGAAACAGACGGACGCAUCGUCCAUUUUGCUUUACAAAUUAGUCGACUUGAAAGGUGGUGGUCUAUUGGUAGAUAUGAUGAAAAGAGCAACGCAAACUAAACAAUACGCGGAAUUGGACCAUGCCCUGAGAACAAAAGUAGAACCAUAUUUAUAUAACAAGGGUAAAGGUAAAUGGAUCCCGAUCGAGAAAUUGGUUUUGUUGAGAAACAAGGAUCGUCCAAAGCACAAAAUGCUUCCACCGUUGCGGGCUAUGGAGAAUCCGGCCGAUUACGACAUAGAUAAAGAUAUGGGCGAGGAUGAAGUGGACGAGACGAAAAUAGAUAAAAGCAAGUACAGAUUAGUAUGCUGGAGUUUGGGCGAGAGGGGAGCAGUCGGUGAAACGAUUUUACAUUUGUGUAUGCUACACGCAACUGCUAUUCACAUCGAUUUGGCUAAGCGUUUGCUGCGUUUUUAUCCUAAGCUUAUCAACGAUGUGUACAUAAGCGACGAGUAUUACGGCGAGAGCGCAUUACACAUCGCAAUCGUAAACGAAGAUCCGUCGAUGGUAAAAUUCCUUUUGGACAGCGGCGCGGACGUACACGAAAGAUGCAUAGGAAACUUUAUGUGCCCGGAGGAUCAAAAAGCGUCGAGGGCGGACAGUCUUGAUCACGAAUGGGUUUGCGUAACUCCGGAAACUAAUUACAACGGCUACGUUUAUUGGGGCGAGUAUCCUUUAAAUUUUGCCGCGUGUUUGGGACAGGAAGAGUGUUACAGAUUGAUACUCGCAAGAGGAGCUGACCCCGACAAACAAGAUACGAACGGAAACACCGUUUUACAUAUGUUGGUCAUUUACGAAAAAUUGGCCACAUUCGAUAUGGCGUACGAAGUUGGCGCAUCGUUAGCGAUCAGGAAUGCUCAACACUUAACGCCCUUGACAUUGUCGGCGAAAUUGGCAAAGAUCGAAAUGUUUUUUCACAUUUUAAACAUCGAGCGAGAGAUCUAUUGGCAGAUCGGAAGCAUAACGUGCGCAGCUUAUCCCCUCUCGCAAGUCGACACCAUAGAUGUCGACACGGGAAGCAUUAGUCAUAAUUCCGCUCUAAAUCUGGUCGUAUUCGGCGAAAAAGACGAGCACUUGGAACUGAUGGACGGAAUUCUGAUUGAUCUGUUGAACGCCAAGUGGAACACAUUCGUCAAAUUUCGAUUUUAUCGUCAAUUUUUCCUAUUUUGUUUUUACUUUGUCCUGUCGUUGAUCAGUUUCACCCUUCGACCCGGUCCAGCAACGAUAUCAUCCGUUUCCAAUCCCAUUGCUCAGACGCCCCUCACGUCCACCGAAUUGUCGACAAUUUCACCAAUAGUGGAUCCUCCUAUCUCGAACGUUACCAUCAAUCGAACCUCGAAUCCUUUCCUUAAUUCUAAUCUCUUCCUCCUUCUUGAUAAAAUUGUUUCCGCUGCUUUCGUCUCGAACGUGAAAUAUCCUUGGAAUUUGACAAGAACCCGUUUCGAUAAGCUGAAGCUCGUUAUCAUCGAGAAUUUGACAUCCGCUUUGAACGAUAUACUCACGACGAAUCGAUCCAGAAACGAGAUCGAAUUUUUUAACCACUCUUACAAAACAUCCGCAACCGAACAUUUCUACUCUAAAAACGAUACUGGACCGAUCGAUAAUUUGAAAAUCAAUGAAACUAUCCUUUCGAUAAAUUCGACGAUUCUAUUCAACGAUGGGAUAUUUACCAGCAAAUACAACUGGUGGAACAAUCUUACAGAAGAAUGCAGACUAAUGCAUCUAGAUACGUUAUCGGGAAAGAUUAGAUUGACCGCUGAGGUAUUAAUGGAAAUUGCGGCCGCUCUUUAUAUUUUUGCAGCAUUACGAGAAGCCAGAUUUCUAGGUCUUAAUAUGUUUAUUGAAAAUCUAAUGACUGCACCGUCCAGAGUAAUGUUUCUCUUUUCCUGCUGUAUAUUGUUAACCUUCCCAUUUUUAAGAUUGAUUUGCGCCGACCAAGUUGAAGAUAUGCUAGCUGUUGUCGUUAUGUUAACUACGGCACCGUAUUUUUUAUUUUUCUGUAGAGGUUUCAAAACGGUCGGUCCGUUCGUCGUCAUGAUUUACAGAAUGAUCAUGGGCGAUCUGCUCCGUUUCGUCUCCAUUUACUUGGUCUUCGUGAUGGGAUUUUCCCAAGCAUACUAUAUUAUAUUUUUAUCUUUCGAUAAUCCAAAUACACCGGAAGGAGUAGAUGAUUCGAUGAGCAAUCCAAUGCCAUCACCAAUAGAAAGUAUAAUGGCAAUGUUUCUGAUGAGCAUGACAAACUUUGGAGAUUAUUAUGGUGCUUUUGAAAGAACGCAACACGAGAUAGAAGCCAAGUGUACAUGGCGAUCGUUGCUAUAUUAUUGGUAAAUAUGUUAAUUGCUAUGAUGGGAAAUACAUAUCAGAAAAUUGCAGAAACAAGAAAUGAAUGGCAAAGACAAUGGGCACGUAUAGUUUUAGUAGUUGAAAGAGGAGUGAGCCCUGAUGAAAGACUUAAAAAAUUAAUGGAUUAUUCUGAACCAAUGUCUGAUGGUCGAAGAGCAUUAGUACUUCGAUUGAAUCAAUC
Molecule: unclassified non-coding RNA, 2835 nt
Filed under: Apis dorsata (giant honeybee)
Lineage: Eukaryota; Metazoa; Arthropoda; Insecta; Hymenoptera; Apidae
Description: transient receptor potential cation channel subfamily V member 5, transcript variant X1
Source: RNAcentral